GACGAACGCUGGCGGCGUGCUUAACACAUGCAAGUCGAGCGGAAAGGCCCUUCGGGGUACUCGAGCGGCGAACGGGUGAGUAACACGUGAGUAACCUGCCCCAGACUUUGGGAUAACCCUCGGAAACGGGGGCUAAUACCGGAUACGACACAGCUUCGCAUGGGGUCUGUGUGGAAAGUUUUUCGGUUUGGGAUGGGCUCGCGGCCUAUCGGCUUGUUGGUGGGGUGAUGGCCUACCAAGGCGACGACGGGUAGCCGGCCUGAGAGGGCGACCGGCCACACUGGGACUGAGACACGGCCCAGACUCCUACGGGAGGCAGCAGUGGGGAAUAUUGCACAAUGGGCGGAAGCCUGAUGCAGCGACGCCGCGUGAGGGAUGACGGCCUUCGGGUUGUAAACCUCUUUCAGCAGGGACGAAGCGUAAGUGACGGUACCUGCAGAAGAAGCGCCGGCCAACUACGUG
Molecule: ribosomal RNA, 462 nt
Filed under: uncultured bacterium
Lineage: Bacteria
Description: partial 16S ribosomal RNA
Rfam family: Bacterial small subunit ribosomal RNA
Source: RNAcentral